CUGUCCCUAGAGGAGUUGGAAUAGUUUUAAGUUCUAUCCUCCUGUCUCAUGGGUGCAGUUUAUUUUGAUUGUCAUUUUCACAUGGAUCUAAAGAAAUGCCUCAUACUAGAGAUUUGAUUCCUUACGUCAUGUAUAGAGGCCUAGCCUAUCUGCAAUACCAAGUCCUGGAAUGGGAUAUUGUUUUAUAAAUGAACUAAUUUAUUCUCAGUUCUAAGAGAUGACUAAAGAAGAUAUAGGACAAUAUGCUUAAAUUUGCUCUUUUUUCUAUCUUAAAUUAUCUUUCUAAAUCUUUAUCAGUAGCAACCUCUAAUUCAAAUUUCUCUAAAGUUAACAGCUUGGGUUUUAAUAUGUGAAGCUUAAGUUUCAGAGUGGGAAUGAAGGAAAUUAAAAUAUUUUACUCUGAACUAUAUUUCUUUGACAUGUUUUGAAAUGGUUAACACUUGGCCAUUUUGACAAAAUGGCCUUGCAAAACUCUCUUAACUGGAAAAAAAAAUUGCAUCUAUAGAGAAUCUCCAAUAAUGCAGAAAUGCCCCCUUCCCCUUUUUAUUUCUUUCCCUAGAUCCAGGAAAGAUUGAGAGUUUGAUGCCCUUUAAAGUCUAAAAAGAAACAUUUAUUAUCUAUUCUCUCUAAGGGAGAUUUCACCUACAUAACAAGGCCACCUGGCUUACCCAGCUUCUUCCUUUCUCUAUUAACUUGUCUUGCCACUGAACUUGAUUUACCUGUUUCUGGCUAUGUUCUGAUUCUGCAUACUUUAAUUGCCUCAGGAUGAUACAUAAAUUUCUGUAAGUUACUGAGAAGUUGAGUCUUAAUUCUGAAGACUCCUAUGCAUAUAUUUUAAAUAAAUUUGUAUGACUUUUCUUCUAUUAAUCAAUCUGCCUUAUGUCAAUAAUUUUUAGGGAAACUACAUGGGGCCAAGAGCCUAUGGCCACCAAAAAUCAACAUCACCUUGUUCUUGCUUUUAAGCCUAUUCUCAAGCUUCAGUAAAUCUUGUUAAAUGCAAUUCUGUAACUGGGUCCUGGGACACAGGGGAAAGCAGAGAGCAUGGAGGCAUCCAGAAGAGGCUUCCAAUUCCCUGAUCAGGAGGGGGACACACUGAGCUCCCUCCCCAUCCAAUUCUUUUCCUGAUGUGUCAGAGGUUCCCACAAAUGGGGAAGAGGCCCUGGUGGCACAGUGAGCUUGCCAAUCAAGUAAAUACUGAACCCAAAGAGUUUUGCGGAGAGCGAUUUACUAGGCAGAGAGAGAAAGAGAAGACAGAAAGACACAGAGACAGAGAAGAAUCU
Molecule: long non-coding RNA, 1280 nt
Organism: Sapajus apella (tufted capuchin)
Lineage: Eukaryota; Metazoa; Chordata; Mammalia; Primates; Cebidae
Exons: 3
Source: RefSeq, a predicted model, not a curated record